UACGGGGGGGGCAAGCGUUGUUCGGAAUUACUGGGCGUAAAGGGCUCGUAGGCGGCCAACUAAGUCAGACGUGAAAUCCCUCGGCUUAACCGGGGAACUGCGUCUGAUACUGGAUGGCUUGAGAUUGGGAGAGGGAUGCGGAAUUCCAGGUGUAGCGGUGAAAUGCGUAGAUAUCGGAAGGAACAUCAGUGGCGAAAGCGACUUCCUGGACCAAUACUGACGCUCAUGUGCGAAAGCGUGGGGAGCAAACAGG
This 253-nucleotide ribosomal RNA is filed under the name uncultured bacterium. RNAcentral's name for it is "partial 16S ribosomal RNA". It matches the Rfam family "Bacterial small subunit ribosomal RNA", at positions 524 to 776 of the family's 1533-position model. The record is from RNAcentral.